AGAGUUUGAUCCUAGCUCAGGAUGAACGCUCGCUGUGUGCCUAAUACAUGCAUGUUGAACGGGAUGUAGCAAUACAUUCAGUAGCGAAUGGGUGAGUAACACGUACCUAACCUACCUUUAAGACUGGGAUAACUAUUGGAAACAAUAGCUAAUACCGGAUAUAGUUAUUUAUCGCAUGAUGAGUAAUAGAAAGGAGCUUCACAGCUUCACUUAAAAAUGGGGGUGCGGAACAUUAGUUAGUUGGUAGGGUAAUGGCCUACCAAGACGAUGAUGUUUAGCCGGGCCGAGAGGCUGUACGGCCACACUGGGACUGAGAUACGGCCCAGACUCCUACGGGAGGCAGCAGUAAGGAAUUUUCCACAAUGAGCGAAAGCUUGAUGGAGCGACACAGCGUGCAGGAUGAAGUUCUUCGGAAUGUAAACUGCUGUUAUAAGGGAAGAAAAAAUAGAAUAGGAAAUGAUUUUAUCUUGACGGUACCUUAUUAGAAAGCGACGGCAAACUAUGUGCCAGCAGCCGCGGUAAUACAUAGGUCGCAAGCGUUAUCCGGAAUUAUUGGGCGUAAAGCGUCCGUAGGUUUUUUGCUAAGUCUGGAGUUAAAUGCUGAAGCUCAACUUCAGUCCGCUUUGGAUACUGGCAAAAUAGAAUUAUAAAGAGGUUAGCGGAAUUCCUAGUGAAGCGGUGGAAUGCGUAGAUAUUAGGAAGAACACCAAUAGGCGAAGGCAGCUAACUGGUUAUAUAUUGACACUAAGGGACGAAAGCGUGGGGAGCAAACAGGAUUAGAUACCCUGGUAGUCCACGCCGUAAACGAUGAUCAUUAGUUGGUGGAAUAAUUUCACUAACGCAGCUAACGCGUUAAAUGAUCCGCCUGAAUAGUAUGCUCGCAAGAGUGAAACUUAAAGGAAUUGACGGGAACCCGCACAAGCGGUGGAGCAUGUGGUUUA
Molecule: ribosomal RNA, 941 nt
Filed under: Klebsiella pneumoniae
Lineage: Bacteria; Pseudomonadati; Pseudomonadota; Gammaproteobacteria; Enterobacterales; Enterobacteriaceae
Description: bacterial SSU rRNA
Rfam family: Bacterial small subunit ribosomal RNA
Source: RNAcentral